This 695-nucleotide long non-coding RNA is filed under the name Panax ginseng (ginseng). Its description in RNAcentral is "long non-coding RNA (PGIN_LNC000383)". Lineage: Eukaryota; Viridiplantae; Streptophyta; Magnoliopsida; Apiales; Araliaceae. The record is from RNAcentral.
UCCAAAUAUGGAUUGUGAUAGAUGAAAACUGUAGUUUGGAAAGUUACGAAUCGAACAAAAUUGACGGAUCAUUAAUCAGAGUUAUAGAUUUCAUUUUAUUUAAGUUUUGGUAAAGGACUCCAAAACUGCAUAUGUGCAAAAGUAAACUGCCAAAAAUUUUCCGGAGGCUGUUUCGGUAAUUUCUUUUGUGAGAAAAAUUCCGGACUUUUGGGAAAUGAAAAUAUGUGGUAUUAUGUAGCUCGUGUCCAAAAAUGAGCUAAUUCCGAGUUAAAACGGCCAAGUUAUGACUAUUCUAAUUUUUGUGAUUUUCCGACGGAAAUCGCUAUAACCGGAGUUCUACAACUCCGAUUGCCACGAAAUUUAAAAUGGAGCAUCACGUUAACAUAUAUAAGGUUAUGUCAAAAGAUGGGCAUCUCUGGAGUUAAGCACGAGGUAGCUAAUUUUCUUAAGUCACGCACUAUUUAUGAUUUUUGAAAAAUAGUAAAAGAAAUUGAAAAAUUAUGGAAAAAUAUUUUUUAUGUAUGAAAUACAUGUAUAUAUGUUUGACCAAAGGAUAAAAAAAUAAUAAGUUGAUUUGGUAUUUUUCGUGAAAAAGAAUAGUGAUUUCGGGAUACUGAAAUAAAAUCCGUCUUACUGAAAUGGUAUUUCGGUUUACUAAGAUGUUAUCUAAUUUACUAGGAUAACAUAUAAAAAUG